RNAcentral lists this ribosomal RNA (635 nucleotides) under uncultured eukaryote. RNAcentral describes it as "partial 18S ribosomal RNA". It matches the Rfam family "Eukaryotic small subunit ribosomal RNA", at positions 21 to 549 of the family's 1831-position model. The record is from RNAcentral.
UAGUCAUAUGCUUGUCUCAAAGAUUAAGCCAUGCACGUGUAAGAUCGUCUUGAAUAGCAAUAUUUACCGGCAAUCUGUGGAAAGCUCAUUAUAACAGUUACAAACUUGGCUUUCUAGCUUAAAGUUAAAAGGAUAACACAGUCAAAUGCAGUGAUAAUACUUGAACCAAAGCUAAUGAAUUGUAUAGUUAGCGAAUAAUAGCGAAUAAGGGAAAAUACGCUAUAGUAUCUUCGGAUCGAUUGACCUCUUUAGAGGCCUAGGAGAAGUAUUUCUUACUUAUCAUGCUAGUUGUUUCAGUAAGGGUGAAACAAGGCCGUCACGGGAACGGAAAAUUAGGGUUUGACUCCGGAGAGGGGGCUUGAGAAUUGGCCACCACAUCUAAGGUGAGUUUAUCUUAUUUCACUUCUUUCCAUCCUUUUGAGCUCUUAAUUUGGGCCGCAGCAAGGACUCUCCCAAUGAGGACAGCGCGAUCUGAAAAACUUUGAACUAACUUAAUUCCAAAAAUCAGGAAGGCAGCAGGCGCGCAAAUUCCCCAAUCCAGACAAUGGGAGGGAGUGACAAGAAAUAUUGAAGGCGGGGCGCAAGCCUUGCUUAUCGGAAUGAGAACAACUUGAUGAACUUAUCGAGUAACAAUU